AGGCAUAGUCAAUUAAGCUGGUCAGGUUCCUUUCCCCGUGAGAGCCUAGUGUGCAGUGGCUCCGAGCUGCUGCCCCUCUUCGUAGUGUGCAGCCUGUUGUUUGUAUGUGUUGCCCUAAGGGACCUUGGAGACAGUU
RNAcentral lists this small nucleolar RNA (136 nucleotides) under Peromyscus maniculatus bairdii (prairie deer mouse). Its description in RNAcentral is "Small nucleolar RNA SNORA70 (ENSPEMG00000000938.2)". It matches the Rfam family "Small nucleolar RNA SNORA70". Rfam says of the family: snoRNA U70 seems to be exclusive to mammals and is a member of the H/ACA class of snoRNA which contain H (ANANNA) and ACA box motifs. H/ACA box snoRNAs are involved in the conversion of uridines to pseudouridines (5-ribosyluracil) a constituent of structural RNAs (transfer, ribosomal, small nuclear, and small nucleolar). Lineage: Eukaryota; Metazoa; Chordata; Mammalia; Rodentia; Cricetidae. The record is from Rfam by way of RNAcentral.